UCUUCAGUGAUGAUUUAAAUACAGUGACUUUCGUUCUUCUGAGAUUACUGAAGCCAACAAAUCCUGUCCUGAGAAGA
This 77-nucleotide small nucleolar RNA is filed under the name Oryzias javanicus (javanese ricefish). RNAcentral's name for it is "Small nucleolar RNA SNORD59 (ENSOJAG00000015745.1)". It matches the Rfam family "Small nucleolar RNA SNORD59". Rfam says of the family: U59 belongs to the C/D class of snoRNA which contain the C (UGAUGA) and D (CUGA) box motifs. Most of the members of the box C/D family function in directing site-specific 2'-O-methylation of substrate RNAs. Lineage: Eukaryota; Metazoa; Chordata; Actinopteri; Beloniformes; Adrianichthyidae. The record is from Rfam by way of RNAcentral.